GAUGAAGAACGUAGCGAAAUGCGAUAAGUAAUGUGAAUUGCAGAAUUCAGUGAAUCAUCGAAUCCUUGAACGCACAUUGCGCCCCUUGGUAUCCCGAGGGGCAUGCCUGUUCGAGCGUCAUUUCACCACUCAAGCCUGGCUUGGUGUUGGGCGACGUCCUCUUUGGGGACGCGCCUCGAAACGCUCGGCGGCGUGGCACCGGCUUUAAGCGUAGCAGAAUCUUUCGCUUUGGAAGUCGGGGCCCCGUCUGCCGGAAGACCUGCUCGCAAGGUUGACCUCGGAUCAGGCAGGGAUACCCGCUGAACUUAAGCAUAUCAAUAAGCGGAGGA
Molecule: unclassified non-coding RNA, 329 nt
Filed under: soil metagenome
Description: partial contains 5.8S ribosomal RNA, internal transcribed spacer 2, and large subunit ribosomal RNA
Rfam family: 5.8S ribosomal RNA (bases 1-120)
Source: RNAcentral